UCGAGCGAAUGGAUUAAGAGUUUGUCUUAUGAAGUUAGCGGCGGACGGGUGAGUAACACGUGGGUAACCUGCCCAUAAGACUGGGAUAACUCCGGGAAACCGGGGCUAAUACCGGAUAACAUUUUGAACCGCAUGGUUCGAAAUUGAAAGGCGGCUUCGGCUGUCACUUAUGGAUGGACCCGCGUCGCAUUAGCUAGUUGGUGAGGUAACGGCUCACCAAGGCAACGAUGCGUAGCCGACCUGAGAGGGUGAUCGGCCACACUGGGACUGAGACACGGCCCAGACUCCUACGGGAGGCAGCAGUAGGGAAUCUUCCGCAAUGGACGAAAGUCUGACGGAGCAACGCCGCGUGAGUGAUGAAGGCUUUCGGGUCGUAAAACUCUGUUGUUAGGGAAGAACAAGUGCUAGUUGAAUAAGCUGGCACCUUGACGGUACCUAACCAGAAAGCCACGGCUAACUACGUGCCAGCAGCC
RNAcentral lists this ribosomal RNA (473 nucleotides) under Bacillus subtilis. RNAcentral describes it as "bacterial SSU rRNA". It matches the Rfam family "Bacterial small subunit ribosomal RNA", at positions 62 to 516 of the family's 1533-position model. The record is from RNAcentral. Lineage: Bacteria; Bacillati; Bacillota; Bacilli; Caryophanales; Bacillaceae.